UGCAGCAUGCUAGAAUCAUGUGAAUGACUAAUUUAACUACAUUGAACUACUUUAGUAAUAAUUUAAUCUCUUAUUCUGGACUAAAAUAAAGAAACAAGCUACAUCAUCACAUAUCUGUGGCAUCAAGAAGCAUCUUCUGAGUUCAAACACAGGGAUGGAGCACAAUGUUUACACCUGAACAGUAUCAGGAUGUUUUAACUCACAGAGGUCUGCAGGUCUUCUGUUUUAUGAGCAAAGCGCUGAGAAUCCGCUUGCUAUGAGCGCUAAACGUUAUUUUGCCGCUUCCGUGCGGAGCGGUAGAGAAACACAUUUCAAACACGGAACCGAGUCUGGUUACCGAACCGAACAGAAUUCUGAUGACGUCACACCGGUGCACGAAGGUGCGGGUUCCAACCCACAGGAGAGGAGGUAAACAGCGAGUGGAUCACAGGGACUGAACUGAUGUUUUUGAGCAAAACUGCGGUAAAAAUGGCUGUUUGUCCUCAUUAUCAAAAGUGUAAACCCCGGUUUGGAUGCGGUGCUCAUGCAGGUGUCUCUUUCUGUUCGGACCAAGCCCCCACAAUGCGGCUUCAAAAUUGAAGCCAACCCGGAAGUAAGAAAAAUUGCAGUUCCACAUUCAUCCACUAGGGGCUGGUAUCAGAAGCGAGCAAAUCCUCAUCGACUCCCAUGUUAAAAAUGCCAAUUUCACAGCAGAAAUAAACAUGUUUACAGCCUGGUACCAAAACAUGUUUUUUGUUUAAAUGAUCUAGUUUACACUCAUGACAACUCUGAGGGGGGUGAAUUUUUUUCUCACUCUUCUGUUUAAGUGUAUUAAAAGCCUAAAAUUCUGUAUAAUUAAAGAGCAAGUAACGUCUAAAUUAACUUUUUUUGCUGAUGAACUGUAUAAAUGAGUGUCUAAUAGUGUUUUAAAUGUGUGUAUUCAUUAUUUUAGCAUUUUGGUGCAUUUUCUUUAAAAAAUAAAAAUUCUGCCUAAAUUACACAGAAUAGCGCCACCUUCAGCUUAAAACAUAGAAUUUGAGUCAUUUUGAAUACACUUUAGCCAAUGGCUAAAGAGUAAGAUACUACGUAUACCAGUAGAGUACUACGUAGCAGCUCUGUGUCAAAGUUAUAAAAGCAUCGAGAGUCUCGGCCACGCCUCGUGGCGAGUUGGGAGUUGGAUUUGCAAGCGAGUAUAGGAGGUUAGCCGUAGUUCAGCAUUAGCAUAUAGCAUUAGCAUAUCCUAAUCUUUAGCAUAGCUUUUAGUGUUAUACAUAAUUAUUUAGUGUUAGUUUGGCUGUUGGAUAUUGUAGUCCAGGGAGUGGCCUGGGGUAGCACAUGCCACCCUUGGAAUCUGAUUGGACACCCCAGGUGCCACCACACUAAUUUAUUUUUAAAUAGGCUUUUCAUUGUCCACAAAAGGCUUGGGGGUAAAACAAGAAAGCCUAACCAUUGGUGCCACCCAUGCACAAAGUUGGACCUCACCUGGGCCCCCCCAUUUUAAAAGAUCUGGACACGCCACUGAUUGUAGUUUAGUUAGUGUUUGGCUGUUAGUGUAAUUAGGAAAGUAGUUCAGGUUUAGUGUUCCAUAUCGUGUUAGUAUGGUGAGAAGGUGUAGUGUAGUGUGGUUGCGGUGGCUCUGUGGGGUUGCACUCCUUUCCGCUGGACUUAGAAGUUAGGCGCCAGUGGUUUCGCGCAAUCAGUGUCUGGAAAAUAUUCAGCUCCCGCCUGGUGCUGUAGUUUGCAACCAGCAUUUUACCCGCGAUUCUGCAUGUCUCCGUUUGAAGAGGGAGGCUGUGCCCACCGUGGCUCUUCCGCGAUUUAGAUGCAGCCCACCGACUCUGCUCCCCCACCAUGACGGGCUCCAGUCUGAGGUGAGUAAGCUAAAUAAAAGUUUUAACAUCUUCUAAAGACAAUUCCCUACCUAAAUGCAAAGCUUGAGAGACGUGGUUCACUUAAUUUAGCUAAUAUCAGUCUGCACUGCCUUCGGGCUGAUUUGUCAAGUUCACAAAAUGUGGAACGGGAUGUAAGGUUAGAAUCAGCGGCGAAUCGGAACAUAUCUCGAAGCCCUGGCCGAAAAAAACGGUCCACAUGACUGUCAGGCUCGGAGAAAAUUCGGGUUGUUUUUGUGUCAGUCGGCAAUUCUGCAACAGUGGCUCUAACUAACGCAGCACUAGUUGACAGACAUCAUUACAGCGUGAAAUCCAGUUUGUGACCCGGUUCCGUGAGGAAUUCUGUUCAGGAGGUCGCAUUUCAGGCUCUUCACAUCAUAUGUGACUGACUUUUACGUUAUAAUAACGAUCACACACUAGGAAUGUUAUAAAGCGCCUAUAUAGGACAGUUUCUUUUGUAUAUUAUCUGACUUUAUAAACUCCAACAACAAUGUGCUUCUAUUUUUUUUUUCAGGCUAAAUCUACCCAAGACACUGGCUGUCAGACUGAUUUAGUAGUCUGCAAGAAUGCACUUGUCCAGGCUGACGUGAAGCCUUACCCGUAGCAAAGGUGAACUAUUUUUAAUAAUCUUCUAUGUAAACAUUUUAUUAUCACCUUCUAGUUUUAAUUUGUUUUACAGAUUAUUGUUACACGUGAUUUUAUGCUCUUUUAAACAUUUAUAAAUGUGCUGCUUCUUUGUUUUUACAUAGCCAGCCAGAAUAGAGCUCCCAGCCUCAGUGUGUCUGGUGACACAGGGAUCAUGACGGAAAUUCAUCUUCCAGAAAGUCCCAGUGCAGCGUCCACACCCCUGAAAAGACCAAGAUGUGAGGUGUCUGCUGUUAAUUCCAGCUUCCACCUCAGUGACAGUGCAAGCUUAGUGAACUGUUCAAGGUAAAAAAAAUUUAAACAUUUCAGAAUUUUUAAGAUAUUAACAAUUAAAUAAGUAUGUGAUUACAUCAUGACAUCAUGAAGGAGGCUACUGAUUCUGCCCCUGUGACACUUGGUGGUGACGUGUGAGCUGAUUCACCUGGACACUCAGCAAAAUAUGGACUCUACACCAUGAGGCAGGCACACGUUAAUACUCUAUAAGAGCACAUAAGCCUGGCUGAUCACCUGAUAACUCCUGUCAUCUGGUUGUGACAGCAUGAGGAUGUCCUCACACACCUGUAACCUAUCAGCUCAUCUGGCAGAAUAGAGAGAAGAGACAACACCACAUCUCCUGUUCCUGGAAAGCCUUCAGCCAUCCUUCGAUGACUGAGAACCUCCAUCAGCUCUGUCUCCUGUCUGCCUACAAUUAUAAUAAAUAUUGUGUUUGACAAGUUUUUUGUGCUGCCAAAUAUCUCAUUUUGAUUCCAGUUUUGAUAUUUUAAUGGAUAUUUAUAAAUUACAUUAAUUGAAUUAUCACAUUGUUGCAUGUUUAACUAGCUCUAUUGUGAUGAUUUAAACUAGCACCUCACUGUUAAAAGCUCGUUUUAAUUUCAAGCAUGUUUAAGUAUUUAUGGACAUGAACAAAAACAGGAAAUAUAUAAAUUGAGAUUUAUUAAAUUAAUAUAACAAAUAAGGGGGACAGAGUCAU
This is a non-coding RNA of Nothobranchius furzeri (turquoise killifish), 3483 nucleotides long. Lineage: Eukaryota; Metazoa; Chordata; Actinopteri; Cyprinodontiformes; Nothobranchiidae. The record is from RefSeq and is a predicted model, not a curated record.